Molecule: unclassified non-coding RNA, 949 nt
Filed under: Hevea brasiliensis (rubber tree)
Lineage: Eukaryota; Viridiplantae; Streptophyta; Magnoliopsida; Malpighiales; Euphorbiaceae
Source: RNAcentral
AGAGGAAAUCAUCCCAGAAGGUUAAAUUACCAAGAAAAACAAAAAUAGGCGAAGGAGAUUUGUACUUGAACAAAGAUCCCAGCUAUCUCGUCAACAUUAAUGUUGGGUUGCUGCUUGUAACACCAUAAGAACUUUACUUCUUGAUUCUUAGCACUAGUAACUUCUUUGUAAGCUACAAGUGCACUUUUCUGAGCAAUUAUGUCAUAGUGAAAACAUGUCCUGGCUUCACAUAAGGGUGGAAGUUGAAGUUUAUAGUCAAAUGUUUGGACCAGAGUUCAGAAACUGCAUGUCUGCAUUGAGGAUUUGCUUGCUUAGAUUGAUGGCAAGCUUCUUUUUUUACAACCACUUGACAUAAUGUCAUGUUGCAUACCUUGUCUUGAGGAUGGAAUUGGCUGUUAGAUGGUUAAUAGUAGUACAGAGAUUCGAUAAUAAUUUUCCUUCAAAGGGAUCAUUUAUGUUGAUCUCUCUUGUCAUUUUUCCAUUGAGUUGUAAUUGUCCCAUCCCAAUGGUUAUUGACAUGAAGUCAUUUUAACUUUGUACAUUUUUUCUUAUGAGCUUCACCAGGGCCUAUUUUGAUAGUUCCUGAUGCACAGGAGGUCAUCUUUGGUAAUACGGAAAUGAUGUCCUCUGGAAUAAAUAAAAUAUGGAAAAAAUAGAGAAAGAAAUUUUGAGUCAUUCAGAUGGUAAUUAUUAUGAAUAUAUUGGUGAAGAUAAUUUUAGUUCUCUCAUGUAUUAUAUUCCCUUUUUUUUAGUUUUUUUGCUUAUGAAAAUCAGUUUGUAUUUAGUUCAAUGUCAAAAUGGAUGUCAUGUUUACAUUUAAAUCUCAUACACACAUGCAUGCACAUGGAUAUGCACUAGGAUUUGGCUUCUUGUAAUUGAUCUUUUCUUUUUUUGUAAAAGAAAAUGAAAUAAAAGUAGCUUGUAAUCUUUUAUCAAUCUUUUGUUUGAG